This 468-nucleotide ribosomal RNA is filed under the name uncultured bacterium. RNAcentral describes it as "partial 16S ribosomal RNA". It matches the Rfam family "Bacterial small subunit ribosomal RNA", at positions 28 to 507 of the family's 1533-position model. The record is from RNAcentral.
GACGAACGCUGGCGGCGUGCUUAACACAUGCAAGUCGAACGGAAAGGCCCUGCUUUUGUGGGGUGCUCGAGUGGCGAACGGGUGAGUAACACGUGAGUAACCUGCCCUUGACUUUGGGAUAACUUCAGGGAACUGGGGCUAAUACCGGAUAGGAGCUCCUGCUGCAUGGUGGGGGUUGGAAAGUUUCGGCGGUUGGGGAUGGACUCGCGGCUUAUCAGCUUGUUGGUGGGGUAGUGGCUUACCAAGGCUUUGACGGGUAGCCGGCCUGAGAGGGUGACCGGCCACAUUGGGACUGAGAUACGGCCCAGACUCCUACGGGAGGCAGCAGUGGGGAAUAUUGCACAAUGGGCGGAAGCCUGAUGCAGCAACGCCGCGUGCGGGAUGACGGCCUUCGGGUUGUAAACCGCUUUCACCUGUGACGAAGCGUGAGUGACGGUAAUGGGUAAAGAAGCACCGGCUAACUACGUG